UCUGACCAGCCAUGCCGCGUGCAGGAGACUGCCCUAUGGGUUGUAAACUGCUUUUAUAUAGGAAGAAACCCCACCACGUGUGGUGGGCUGACGGUACUCUACGAAUAAGGACCGGCUAACUCCGUGCCAGCAGCCGCGGUAAUACGGAGGGUCCAAGCGUUAUCCGGAAUCAUUGGGUUUAAAGGGUCCGUAGGCGGGCAAUUAAGUCAGAGGUGAAAUCCCACAGCUCAACUGUGGAACUGCCUUAGAUACUGGUUGUCUUGAGUUAUAGUGAGGUGAAUAGAAUAUGUAGUGUAGCGGUGAAAUGCUUAGAUAUUACAUAGAAUACCGAUUGCGAAGGCAGA
RNAcentral lists this ribosomal RNA (344 nucleotides) under uncultured Bacteroidota bacterium. RNAcentral's name for it is "bacterial SSU rRNA". It matches the Rfam family "Bacterial small subunit ribosomal RNA", at positions 382 to 725 of the family's 1533-position model. The record is from RNAcentral. Lineage: Bacteria; Pseudomonadati; Bacteroidota.